This is a long non-coding RNA of Artibeus jamaicensis (Jamaican fruit-eating bat), 3848 nucleotides long. RefSeq lists it as uncharacterized. The record is from RefSeq and is a predicted model, not a curated record. The transcript is spliced from 3 exons. Lineage: Eukaryota; Metazoa; Chordata; Mammalia; Chiroptera; Phyllostomidae.
UAUGUGCGCGGUCCCCGGGCACCGAGGAGCACCGCCGCCCCGCCUGUGCUGGGAAGCACCUUGCGUGCCCUGCCCGAGACCUCCAGCUGUAGUGGGCUCCUGUUAAACUUCUGUGAGAGCAAAACGCGUGAAUGGCUUUUUCUUCAAACAGGCUGCUGGGAGCAGUGGUGUAUCAGGGCCGUGGAUGCUGCAGGUGCCGGGAGUGAGGUCCUGGCCGGGGACCGGGGACACACACCGUUUUUACCUGCAAUCAAACCGCCGAAACCCCUGCUGUGAACCACCAUGCAGAAAGUCCAACUCAUCGGGAAGUGAACGGGCUUCAGAGGAGCACCACCGAAACUCAGACGAACAGAGAGAUGACAGGACAUUUCGGGAGCCACAUUUUGGCCACGAGAUGCAUGUAAACGCCAACACCAAAGGGCUUAUUCACUGGGAAGAAGUGAAUGCGACUUUCACUGUGACAAAAGCCGUCCCCUCCUGAGAGCAUCUCCUCCGAUCAGCAGUGAACGGGAUCCAAACCGGCACCGGAAACCGGUCGGGCCCACGGCAGGUGCACGCGGUGAGUGUCCACGCGAGUCUCUAACCUGGAUCUAUCUCAUCUUCUUGACUGUCCUUUUCCACAAUACGUGGCCUUCUAACCUUAGAAUGGUGCCCGGGCUGGGGGUUUCCACGGCAGAGCAGACUCCCGCCGGCCCUCACGCACCUCUGUUCAUGGUGUUAUUUACCUCUGGGCCUGGGGUCUGCUCGGAAAAUACCCGGUCGGCCAAAAAGUUUGCGUAGUUUCUUUCAUGCGACGGCUCUGGCUUGGUUGCCUUUAACUUCGUUGGAAACAAUCUUGUUAGGUUGUGUUAUGACAGCUGUCAUUUCAGCGUGCAUUAAAAAAAAAACUUAUCAAAACUGGGGAGUUGGCAGUCAUUUGUGCCCUGACUGGGAAUCAAACUUGCAACCUUGGUAUAUCGGGAUGACACUGUAACCCACUGAGCUGCCCAGCCAGGAUUAAAAUCUAUAUUUAAAUUUUUUUUCACGUUCCAGUUUUUUUUCAGUAAUGCAUAGAAAGAAACAUCUCACUCAAGUUUGUCGAGGUAUGAUUUACAUGCAGGAAAGUGUACCCUUUUCGAGGGUGCUGUUCUGCGGGUUCGACAAACAUACACACUCGUGUCAUAACCACCAUAACAAGGUACAGAUUCCCACACAUCCCCCGAGUCCCCCUGCGCCUCUCCGUGGAUGUCCCUCGCUGUCUCCAGUCACUGCCAACAACUGACCGUUCGGCCUCUUCCGUUCCGCCUCUCCCGGGAGGUCGUAUAAAUGCAACGUUCUGUGUGCAGCCCCUCGGGUGUGGCUUCCUCGACUGGAGUGCGGACAUGUGGCUGUGUGUCCUUUCCCACACGGUGCUGGGUGCUGUUCCACUGUCCGAAUGCACUGCCAUCCACUUGUCCACUCGCCUGCUGGAGGACAUUUGUUUUAUUUCCAGGUUUAGAUGGUUAUUAAUGAAGCUAUUAUAACCAUUCACAUACUUUUUUUGUGUGUGAACGUAAUUUUGUCUCUCUUGGAUAAAUAUUGGGUUGGCAGAAACGUUUCAUUUUUCCUGUAAAAUAAAAGACACAUUUUUCAGUUUCACCGAUAGUUUUAUGGAUUUGGAUAUUUUGAGUAUGUCUAUCUCCCCCAUGGUAGAACGUUGAUUGUUCUCAAUUAAUCUCUCAACUUCAUCGUUGUCGACUUCGACUGGUCUGUCCAACCCUGGAGCACCGUCCAGCGAGGAAUCUCCAGCAGGAAACUUCGCAAACCACUUUGACAUGUUCGAUCAGUCACAGCACCUUCUCCACACACUGCGCAAGUGUCUUUUUUUUUUUUGCAUUUCAGUUGCAUUUUUUUACUUUUCCUGAAACAAUAAAGCAUAAUAUGUUGAAACUGUUGCCUAUCUUCUUCCAUCUUCAAUAUUAAAAUUGCUACACAAAAAUUCAACAAUUUUGAUGUUUUUUUAAAAAUGCACGCUGACAUGACAGCUGUCACAACACAGUCUGACAAAAUUGCUCCGAGUGAAGUCAAAGACAGUUUGGCGCCACUAGAACCACCUUACAGGAAAACAAACAAAGAAACUUUUCGGCCAACCCAACAGUUUGUUGUCCUUGGAUAAGUACCCAGAAGUGGAAUUGCUGAAUUGUGUGUAAGCUCUGUUUUUAAAAAAAAAGAUUUUAUUUAUUUAUUUUCAGAGAGAGGAGAAGGGAGAGGAAAAGAAAGAGAGAGAAACAUCACUGUGUGGUUGCCUCUCACACGCCCCCCCCACGGGGGACCUGGCCUACAACCCAGGCACGUGCCCUACUGGGAAUUGAACUGGCGAGUCUUUGGUUAACAGGCCAGUACUCCAUCCACUGAGCCACACCAGCCAGGGCUAUAAGCUGUAUUUUAAUUUUUGGAGGAUUCUCCACACUCUUUCCGCAGUGGCCACAAGCCCACCCGUGGUGCACAGCCUUCCCUUCGUGCACACCCUUGGCCCCACCUCGUUUCUUACUGAAACAUACUAAUGAGUAUGGAGUGACAUGUCCCUAAUGACUGAUGAUAUCGAAUAUUUUUACAGAGGCUUGAUUACCAACCAUACAGCUGCUUUUGUGACAUUUAUUCCUACAUUAUAUUCUGUAUCUAUAUAUCUCUAUGUAAUUUUAGUUACUAGAACUUAUAACCAUUUGCCGCUGCUAUAAAAAUAUAUAAUUGAUUUUUAUCUAUUAACCUUGAAUCCUAUGUAUGACCUUGCAAAAUUCACUUCUUAGUUCAAACAGUUGUUUGAUUCCUGUGAUUUCUAUGUAGACUGUUGUCCUAUAAAACAAAGACACUUUUGCUUCCUUCCUGUUACACCUAUUUUUUUUCCUUGCCUCGUGUCAACGGUUACGAACGCUGCACAAGAAGCACUGAAGCUGGGCACCCUUGUCUCACCGCCAAUGUUGGGGGAAGAGUCGGUACUUUACCACUGAGCCUGUUAGCCAUGCAUUUUUAGAGAUGCUCUCUACCAAAUUGAGGAAUUCCUCUCAUCUUAAUUUUCUGAGAGUUUUUAUCGUGAAUGGGUGUUGAAUUUUAAAUGCUUCUCUUUUGCAUCUAUUGGGAUGAUCACAGAGUUUUCUUCCCUCUUUGGUCUAUUAAUAUGGUGAAUAACUGAUUGGUUUUCAAACGUUAAAUCCAUCUUGCAUUCUUAAAAUGAAUUCAACUUGAUUAACCCGACUUGCUGGAUUCAAUUUGCUAAUAUUUUACGAAAGAUACUUGUUUUUAUGUUCAUGUGGAUAUUGCUCUGUACGUUUUUGAUAAUACUCAUUUCAGUGUUGUAAUCAGUUUCAUGCCGACCUCAAAUGAGAGGAGACAUGUUCCCUCUUCUAUUCUCUGAACAAAAAUUGUGCAAGAUUAGUGUUAUUUCUUCCUUAAGUGGUUGAUAAAUUUGACCACUGAAACCAUCUGGGCCUGGAAUUAUCUUUGUGGGAAAUUUGUGGAAUAAAAUUCAAUUUCUUUAAUAGUAAAGCGCUAUUCAGAUUUUAAAAUUUCAGCUUGCUUCAGUUCUGAAGUUGAAUUUUUCUAAGAAUGUGUGCCUUUCGCCAACAAUGUCGGAUUGGUUGGUGUAAAAUGGUCCAUGCUACCUCCCUUUAUUCUGUUAAUAUCUGUGCUGAUACAUUCUUUUAAAAUGAAUCCUCUGUAUUUUCCUUGGUCCAUCUGGUUGGUAUACUGCGGGAUGUAUGUCAUCUUUACUGGGAUCAACGCUGUCUCUCUCUGUAUGGCUUCUCAAAGUGGAAUACUAAACACAGCUGAAGACAAGGGGCCCAUCAUUGAAAGCCACAGAAAUACUGUGGCAUGCAAAUUUUUAAGGAAAA